Molecule: long non-coding RNA, 458 nt
Filed under: Phoenix dactylifera (date palm)
Lineage: Eukaryota; Viridiplantae; Streptophyta; Magnoliopsida; Arecales; Arecaceae
Description: long non-coding RNA (PDAC_LNC021599)
Source: RNAcentral
UUUUAUCCUUUUUUUUGUUCAUUACCCUUACAAAAAUAGCUUAUUGUAUUUCUAGCCUUGGAAAAUUACUAUUUGCAUAUGUAUCUCUUAAAACAUCAUAUUUUUGCAUGAAUACAUAUGCGGUUAUAUUUUUAGUUGACGGUGUUAAGAAGUAAUUAUUUUAAGAAUAAAAUAAUUUUAUCACCCCUUACAAUAAUAUUCUUGAGGAAUAUAUAACAAAUGCAGGGAUGUUAACAUAAAAGGAUAAUUAUGCCAAAUGAUAUUCGGAAGGGUUAUUUGUUAGAAUUGUUAGCCAAACAUCUAAUAGGAGGGGCAUCCAUGCAAAACCAGGAUGUUUGAGGGGUGCGUAUGUAAAUAGUUACUUUCGGGGUGGAUAUUCAAUAAGUUAGAUUUGUAAAUGUUUAUGUGCAAAGAAUCCUUAUUUAUAUGCAUGGUCGAACUUGAAUAUUAACCAUAUU